This 253-nucleotide ribosomal RNA is filed under the name uncultured bacterium. RNAcentral describes it as "partial 16S ribosomal RNA". It matches the Rfam family "Bacterial small subunit ribosomal RNA", at positions 524 to 776 of the family's 1533-position model. The record is from RNAcentral.
UACGGGGGGGGCAAGCGUUGUUCGGAAUUACUGGGCGUAAAGGGCUCGUAGGCGGCCAAGUAAGUCAGGCGUGAAAUCCCUCAGCUUAACUGGGGAACUGCGUCUGAUACUGGUUGGCUUGAGUGCAGGAGAGGAAUGCGGAAUUCCAGGUGUAGCGGUGAAAUGCGUAGAUAUCUGGAGGAACACCGGUGGCGAAGGCGGCAUUCUGGACUGCAACUGACGCUGAUGAACGAAAGCCAGGGGAGCAAACGGG